This 1434-nucleotide ribosomal RNA is filed under the name uncultured organism. RNAcentral describes it as "SSU rRNA". It matches the Rfam family "Bacterial small subunit ribosomal RNA". The record is from RNAcentral.
UGGAUGAACGCUAGCUACAGGCUUAACACAUGCAAGUCGAGGGGCAGCAUGGUCUUAGCUUGCUAAGGCCGAUGGCGACCGGCGCACGGGUGAGUAACACGUAUCCAACCUGCCGUCUACUCUUGGACAGCCUUCUGAAAGGAAGAUUAAUACAAGAUGGCAUCAUGAGUCCGCAUGUUCACAUGAUUAAAGGUAUUCCGGUAGACGAUGGGGAUGCGUUCCAUUAGAUAGUAGGCGGGGUAACGGCCCACCUAGUCUUCGAUGGAUAGGGGUUCUGAGAGGAAGGUCCCCCACAUUGGAACUGAGACACGGUCCAAACUCCUACGGGAGGCAGCAGUGAGGAAUAUUGGUCAAUGGGCGAGAGCCUGAACCAGCCAAGUAGCGUGAAGGAUGACUGCCUUAUGGGUUGUAAACUUCUUUUAUAAAGGAAUAAAGUCGGGUAUGGAUACCCGUUUGCAUGUACUUUAUGAAUAAGGAUCGGCUAACUCCGUGCCAGCAGCCGCGGUAAUACGGAGGAUCCGAGCGUUAUCCGGAUUUAUUGGGUUUAAAGGGAGCGUAGAUGGAUGUUUAAGUCAGUUGUGAAAGUUUGCGGCUCAACCGUAAAAUUGCAGUUGAUACUGGAUAUCUUGAGUGCAGUUGAGGCAGGCGGAAUUCGUGGUGUAGCGGUGAAAUGCUUAGAUAUCACGAAGAACUCCGAUUGCGAAGGCAGCCUGCUAAGCUGCAACUGACAUUGAGGCUCGAAAGUGUGGGUAUCAAACAGGAUUAGAUACCCUGGUAGUCCACACGGUAAACGAUGAAUACUCGCUGUUUGCGAUAUACGGCAAGCGGCCAAGCGAAAGCGUUAAGUAUUCCACCUGGGGAGUACGCCGGCAACGGUGAAACUCAAAGGAAUUGACGGGGGCCCGCACAAGCGGAGGAACAUGUGGUUUAAUUCGAUGAUACGCGAGGAACCUUACCCGGGCUUAAAUUGCAGAUGAAUUACGGUGAAAGCCGUAAGCCGCAAGGCAUCUGUGAAGGUGCUGCAUGGUUGUCGUCAGCUCGUGCCGUGAGGUGUCGGCUUAAGUGCCAUAACGAGCGCAACCCUUGUUGUCAGUUACUAACAGGUUCUGCUGAGGACUCUGACAAGACUGCCAUCGUAAGAUGUGAGGAAGGUGGGGAUGACGUCAAAUCAGCACGGCCCUUACGUCCGGGGCUACACACGUGUUACAAUGGGGGGUACAGAGGGCCGCUACCACGCGAGUGGAUGCCAAUCCCAAAAACCUCUCUCAGUUCGGACUGGAGUCUGCAACCCGACUCCACGAAGCUGGAUUCGCUAGUAAUCGCGCAUCAGCCACGGCGCGGUGAAUACGUUCCUGGGCCUUGUACACACCGCCCGUCAAGCCAUGGGAGCCGGGGGUACCUGAAGUGCGUAACCGCGAGGAGCGCCCUAGGGUA